RNAcentral lists this long non-coding RNA (1374 nucleotides) under Homo sapiens (human). Its description in RNAcentral is "HSALNT0312835". Lineage: Eukaryota; Metazoa; Chordata; Mammalia; Primates; Hominidae. The record is from RNAcentral.
CUGGGAGGCCGAGGUGGGCGGAUCACGAGGUCAGGAGAUUGAGACCAUCCUGGCUAACACGGUGAAACCCCGUCUCUACUAAAAAUACAAAAAAAUUAGCCGGGCGUGGCGGCGGGCGCCUGUAGUCCCAGCUACUUGGGAGGCUGAGGCAGGAGAAUGGUGCGAACCCGGGAGGCAGAUUUUGCAGAGAGCCGAGAUCGUGCCACUGCACUCCAGCCUGGGCGACAGAGCAAGACUCCGUCUCAAAACAAAAAACAAACAAACAAAUAUGGAGCAUUCUGAUAUGAAUAAGACACUUGCUCACUUCUCAAUUCCUUGGUGUCCAGCUCUACAAGUGUAUAUAGACUUCCAAAGAAUAUUUAAAUCCUUUAACAAAAAUGCCACCUAAGAAAAUAUGAAAUACUUCAGUCUGUCUGUCAGUGCUCACUUCCUGUCUAGAAACUUUCAGGCUCCGGCACAAAUGAACCAUGUUCUUCGCCUAAGUCAUUUAUGGAACAUCUGCUUUCGGUUUAGCAUCAGCUUUGUGACCUAGUAAUAUCUUUCUCGAGUGCAUGAAACAUCUCAGAAAUGCAAACAUCAAGGAAGAUACUAAUCCUUUCUUCCAGUUUCUGUGUGAGGGUUGGAGGCUGACUUUGGUGGUGAUCUUGCUCCAAAUUAUAGAACUACAUCCUGUCAUGAAGAGAAGUUUGUCUUCUCGAUAAAGCCAAGUAGCUAACAGAGAUGGUCACCCCAAUUACCAGAUGGACAUAAUUAUACUUGAAUGCUGACCUACAACAUUUUGUGCUGUGCAGAGGCUUUGAAAAUCAAACAACUUUGAAAAUACAAAGCACCGCGUGGAUGGCCUCACUCUGUCGCUCAGGCUGGAGUGGCACGAUCUUGGCUCACUGCAGUCUCUGCCUCCUCCUCUUGGAUGCAAGCAAUUCGGCCUCCAAGUAGCUGAGAUUACAGGUGCGUGCCACCACACUCUGCUAAUUUCUGCAUUUUUAGUAGAGAUGGGGUUUCACCAUGUUGGCCAGACUGGUCUCCAACUCCUGGCCUCAAGUGAUCCACUUGCCUCAGCCACCCAAAGUUCUGGAUUACAGGCGUGAGCCAUUGCGCCUGGCCUAGUAAACAUAUUUUUUUUAAAUAAAAAUGUUAUUUUAUCAUUUACAUAAGAUCAAAAACAUGUCUAUUGGAUUCCACCGCCCAGAUCCUUACACUGUACAUUCUAUUUUGCCUCAAAUUUGACUCUCUUCACUUGCUUUUAAGCUCUGGAUGAGUUUGAUUCCAACUAGUUCAAAAGAAAAAUGGAGCAUCCCAAAAGAACAUAAAACUAAUAAAAAUCAACUUGUUUAUGAAUCUAAAAUGAUAAAAAGCAAUACAUUUAAAAUAAAG